Molecule: ribosomal RNA, 400 nt
Filed under: uncultured bacterium
Lineage: Bacteria
Description: bacterial SSU rRNA
Rfam family: Bacterial small subunit ribosomal RNA
Source: RNAcentral
GAGACUGGAAACGGCUGCUAAUACCGCAUAACCUGUACCGGACGGAUGUCUGGUGUAGCAAAGAUGGCCUCUGAAUGAAAGCUGUCACUUUAUGGAUGGGGCCCGCGUCUGAUUAGCUAGUUGGUAGGGUAAAGGCCUACCAAGGCGACGAUCAGUAGCCGGCCUGAGAGGGUGGACGGCCACACUGGGACUGAGACACGGCCCAGACUCCUACGGGAGGCAGCAGUGGGGAAUAUUGCGCAAUGGGGGAAACCCUGACGCAGCGACGCCCGCGUGAGCGAAGAAGGCCUUAGGGUCGUAAAGCUCUGGUUAUAAGGGACGAAGGUUACCAUGGUUAAUACCCGUGGUAAGUGACGGUACCUUAUGAGUAAGCCCCGGCUAACUACGUGCCAGCCGCGGC